AGCGAACGCUGGCGGCAGGCCUAACACAUGCAAGUCGAACGGAUCCUUCGGGAUUAGUGGCGGACGGGUGAGUAACACGUGGGAACGGGGCCUUUGGUUCGGAACAACUCAGGGAAACUCGAGCUAAUACCGGAUGUGCCCCUCGGGGGAAAGAUUUAGCGCCAUUGGAGCGGCCCGCGUCUGAUUAGCUAGUUGGUGGGGUAAAGGCCCACCAAGGCGACGAUCAGUAGCUGGUCUGAGAGGAUGAUCAGACACAUUGGGACUGAGACACGGCCCAAACUCCUACGGGAGUCAGCAGUGGGGAAACUUGCGCAGUCGGCUAAAGCCUGACGCAGCUAUGCCGCGUGAAUGAUGAAGGUCUUAUGAUUGUAAAAUUCUUUCACCGGGGACGUUAAUGACGUUACCCGGAGAAGAAGCCCCGGCUAACUUCGUGCCAGCGGCCGCCGUAA
Molecule: ribosomal RNA, 449 nt
Filed under: uncultured bacterium
Lineage: Bacteria
Description: partial 16S ribosomal RNA
Rfam family: Bacterial small subunit ribosomal RNA
Source: RNAcentral